ACAAUGAAGAGUUUGAUCCUGGCUCAGGAUGAACGCUAGCUACAGGCUUAACACAUGCAAGUCGAGGGGCAGCAUUUCAGUUUGCUUGCAAACUGGAGAUGGCGACCGGCGCACGGGUGAGUAACACGUAUCCAACCUGCCGAUAACUCGGGGAUAGCCUUUCGAAAGAAAGAUUAAUACCCGAUGGCAUAAUUAGACCGCAUGGUCUUAUUAUUAAAGAAUUUCGGUUAUCGAUGGGGAUGCGUUCCAUUAGGCAGUUGGUGAGGUAACGGCUCACCAAACCUUCGAUGGAUAGGGGUUCUGAGAGGAAGGUCCCCCACAUUGGAACUGAGACACGGUCCAAACUCCUACGGGAGGCAGCAGUGAGGAAUAUUGGUCAAUGGGCGCAGGCCUGAACCAGCCAAGUAGCGUGAAGGAUGACUGCCCUAUGGGUUGUAAACUUCUUUUAUAUGGGAAUAAAGUUUUCCACGUGUGGAAUUUUGUAUGUACCAUAUGAAUAAGGAUCGGCUAACUCCGUGCCAGCAGCCGCGGUAAUACGGAGGAUCCGAGCGUUAUCCGGAUUUAUUGGGUUUAAAGGGAGCGUAGGUGGACAGUUAAGUCAGUUGUGAAAGUUUGCGGCUCAACCGUAAAAUUGCAGUUGAUACUGGCUGUCUUGAGUACAGUAGAGGUGGGCGGAAUUCGUGGUGUAGCGGUGAAAUGCUUAGAUAUCACGAAGAACUCCGAUUGCGAAGGCAGCUCACUGGACUGCAACUGACACUGAUGCUCGAAAGUGUGGGUAUCAAACAGGAUUAGAUACCCUGGUAGUCCACACAGUAAACGAUGAAUACUCGCUGUUUGCGAUAUACAGUAAGCGGCCAAGCGAAAGCAUUAAGUAUUCCACCUGGGGAGUACGCCGGCAACGGUGAAACUCAAAGGAAUUGACGGGGGCCCGCACAAGCGGAGGAACAUGUGGUUUAAUUCGAUGAUACGCGAGGAACCUUACCCGGGCUUAAAUUGCAUUUGAAUAAUCUGGAAACAGGUUAGCCGCAAGGCAAAUGUGAAGGUGCUGCAUGGUUGUCGUCAGCUCGUGCCGUGAGGUGUCGGCUUAAGUGCCAUAACGAGCGCAACCCUUAUCUUUAGUUACUAACAGGUCAUGCUGAGGACUCUAGAGAGACUGCCGUCGUAAGAUGUGAGGAAGGUGGGGAUGACGUCAAAUCAGCACGGCCCUUACGUCCGGGGCUACACACGUGUUACAAUGGGGGUACAGAAGGCAGCUACCUGGUGACAGGAUGCUAAUCCCAAAAGCCUCUCUCAGUUCGGAUCGAAGUCUGCAACCCGACUUCGUGAAGCUGGAUUCGCUAGUAAUCGCGCAUCAGCCAUGGCGCGGUGAAUACGUUCCCGGGCCUUGUACACACCGCCCGUCAAGCCAUGAAAGCCGGGGGUACCUGAAGUACGUAACCGCAAGGAGCGUCCUAGGGUAAAACUGGUAAUUGGGGCUAAGUCGUAACAAGGUAGCCGUACCGGAAGGUGCGGCUGGAACACCUCCUUU
Molecule: ribosomal RNA, 1528 nt
Filed under: Bacteroides thetaiotaomicron
Lineage: Bacteria; Pseudomonadati; Bacteroidota; Bacteroidia; Bacteroidales; Bacteroidaceae
Description: bacterial SSU rRNA
Rfam family: Bacterial small subunit ribosomal RNA
Source: RNAcentral